Molecule: unclassified non-coding RNA, 336 nt
Filed under: soil metagenome
Description: partial contains 5.8S ribosomal RNA, internal transcribed spacer 2, and large subunit ribosomal RNA
Rfam family: 5.8S ribosomal RNA (bases 1-120)
Source: RNAcentral
GAUGAAGAACGCAGCGAAAUGCGAUAAGUAGUGUGAAUUGCAGAAUUCAGUGAAUCAUCGAAUCUUUGAACGCACAUUGCGCCCCUUGGUAUUCCAUGGGGCAUGCCUGUUCGAGCGUCAUUUGUACCUUCAAGCUUUGCUUGGUGUUGGGUGUUUGUCUCGCCUUUGCGUGUAGACUCACCUUAAAAUAAUUGGCAGCCGGCGUAUUGAUUUCGGAGCGCAGUACAUCUCGCGCUUUGCACUCAUAACGACAGCGUCCAAAAGUACAUUUUACACUCUUGACCUCGGAUCAGGUAGGGAUACCCGCUGAACUUAAGCAUAUCAAUAAGCGGAGGA